RNAcentral lists this long non-coding RNA (206 nucleotides) under Phoenix dactylifera (date palm). RNAcentral's name for it is "long non-coding RNA (PDAC_LNC014468)". Lineage: Eukaryota; Viridiplantae; Streptophyta; Magnoliopsida; Arecales; Arecaceae. The record is from RNAcentral.
UUGCCUUUGGCACCAAUUGGUUUAUUAAUUUCAAUUCGAUCAAUAUCAUAACUCAAGCUCAACCACGAAGCCUAAAUCAACAUCCAUUUGGUCUAAUCAAAGACAUGGACUUGAUCAACUACAACUAUUGCAAAGAUCAAGAGUAAUCUUGACCCAAUCUAAGAAACAACUUUAAUUAGAUUAGAUCAACUACUCUACCAAGUUUG